Molecule: ribosomal RNA, 460 nt
Filed under: uncultured bacterium
Lineage: Bacteria
Description: partial 16S ribosomal RNA
Rfam family: Bacterial small subunit ribosomal RNA
Source: RNAcentral
CCUACGGGAGGCAGCAGUGAGGAAUAUUGGUCAAUGGGCGGAAGCCUGAACCAGCCAAGUCGCGUGAGGGAAUAAGGCCCUACGGGUCGUAAACCUCUUUUGCCGGGGAGCAAGGGCGGGGACGUGUCCCGGCCCGGAGAGUACCCGGAGAAAAAGCAUCGGCAAACUCCGUGCCAGCAGCCGCGGUAAUACGGAGGAUGCGAGCGUUAUCCGGAUGUAUUGGGUUUAAAGGGUGCGUAGGCGGGCUUUUAAGUCAGCGGUAAAAAUUCGGGGCUCAACCCCGUACGGCCGUUGAAACUGGGGGGCUUGAGUGGGCGAGAAGAAGGCGGAAUGCGUGGUGUAGCGGUGAAAUGCAUAGAGAUCACGCAGAACCCCGAUUGCGAAGGCAGCCUUCCGGCGCCCGACUGACGCUGAGGCACGAAAGUGUGGGGAUCGAACAGGAUUAGAUACCCCUGUAGUC